Molecule: ribosomal RNA, 532 nt
Filed under: uncultured Bacillus sp.
Lineage: Bacteria; Bacillati; Bacillota; Bacilli; Caryophanales; Bacillaceae
Description: bacterial SSU rRNA
Rfam family: Bacterial small subunit ribosomal RNA
Source: RNAcentral
AUGUGGUUUAAUUCGAAGCAACGCGAAGAACCUUACCAGGUCUUGACAUCCUUUGACCACCCUAGAGAUAGGGCUUUCCCCUUCGGGGGACAAAGUGACAGGUGGUGCAUGGUUGUCGUCAGCUCGUGUCGUGAGGUGUUGGGUUAAGUCCCGCAACGAGCGCAACCCUUGAUCUUAGUUGCCAGCAUUCAGUUGGGCACUCUAAGGUGACUGCCGGUGACAAACCGGAGGAAGGUGGGGAUGACGUCAAAUCAUCAUGCCCCUUAUGACCUGGGCUACACACGUGCUACAAUGGAUGGUACAAAGGGCUGCAAAACCGCGAGGUUGAGCGAAUCCCAUAAAGCCAUUCUCAGUUCGGAUUGUAGGCUGCAACUCGCCUACAUGAAGCCGGAAUUGCUAGUAAUCGCGGAUCAGCAUGCCGCGGUGAAUACGUUCCCGGGCCUUGUACACACCGCCCGUCACACCACGAGAGUUUGUAACACCCGAAGUCGGUGAGGUAACCUUUUGGAGCCAGCCGCCUAAGGUGGGACAG